CUUGGACUUGGCGCGUAAAUGGAGUCACACAGGAACACAGGGCCCAGCUGAACCCAGGAUGUCCACAACUACGACAACAACAUUGAUUUGCAUGCCCCUAUUCGUGGUGGGACUGCUUAUUGUGUUGCUUGCACUUGUCACGUGUAAGCGGCGUGGCUUGAUUUAUAAGAUGCCCACAGCCAGUAUGGAAGCAGCGGUGACAGAUGAUGCAGGGACCCAACUGCAACCCUUGUGCAACAGACCUGCACACUUACACAAACACCUUGAGGAGAAUUCACAGUUCACAGACAAAGAGGAAGAGAUAAACGGAACGGGUAAACAAACAUAACUUAAGCAAGUUGAGUGAGUUCAGGUUGGCAAGCUGGAACAGCUGCCAAGCCAACGAUCGUUGAUGGAAAUUAUACGGUGUCUGACAGAGGACAGGAUUUGCAGCUAAGUCCCACAGAGACUCUCUGGAGGUGAGGGUGUACCCCCUCACUCUGAACUUUCCAUUUCAGUGAACCUCCCAUAAGGUAAAAAUGUAUAUUGCCAAUAAAGGUGUCAAGAAAAUAACUCAGGUGAUAACAAGUAGCAUUAGUAGCAGGUGAUAACAAGUUGUAAAUUUCCUUGUGCUAUUGCAUGGGGACCUCCCACUGUGGCCUAUCCUCUCACUGUCACAUACAAGUACUCAUAGCCAGCAACCUAACCAAUAUAACAACUGCCCAACCAUAGAUCCUGAUGCGACAACAAAGCACAACUGGCUGGAGACAGCUGAAACAUGUCCUGCUUAUUGAGCCCGGGAUCUAUAAAGAUAAAUCCUUCACAUUACAACAUGCACUGUCUGUAGCCCGCAAGUGCUAAACACAACAACAUGACUGCCCAACCAUAAAACCUGAGCAGCAGGAUACAAGAACAUCGACAAAGCUGCCUUCGGGACCAUUUCACUGUUUUUUUUUUCAAGCAGGCACCUUCCUUCUUCAGUGUUUUGUUUAAGUAGGCCCACGGUACUUCCAGAAGGCAUCUGUCUGGCAUCAUACUCACCAUGGGUUAUAAUACAUACCACUACCAGAGACAACAACAGAUACACAACUCAAAAUACAACUCGACAAGAUUUCACAUAUUUCAGUUCUAGUUCAAGUUCAUUCAUGUCCCCAAGUCACUUCUUAUCUGUGCAACUUCCCUGUUGUUCUUGGCUCAUGUAAAGGUAUUUGUGUGUUAACCCACUUAAGCUGUGAAUGACACGCUUAAUGAUUGAGCCUUCUGUUUGUGGUGGAACAUUCCAGUGGUGGUUGCAUCUUUCAAAAUAUAUGAAAUACUUAAGACAAUUUCCAACAGCAAAACAGUAAUUAAUAGUUAACUCUCUUUUGAUACCGUUUUUGUUCUAAUGUCAUGACCUUGCUAUUUUAUUUGAUGUUGCUAUUUUAUAAGAUGUUUUUGUGUGUGUGUGUAUGUGUGUGUGAGAGAGAGAGAGAGAGAGAGAGAGAGAGAGAGGGUGGUUGGGGGAGAGUCUGGAAGACAGAAAAGGAGACAGGAAAUGACAGGGAUGGCCAGUAGGUGUCAAUGUUGCACUUUAGCAUUUUGAAAAUAAUCCGCUUUUAGCUUUUGAGGAGCACUCACCUAGUCCGUCUAAAAUGACUCUUUCCCUGCCAUAGUGACCUAUUAGGCAUAGACAAAGACUGCCAACCAACAUAAACUCUAUUGGGCACGAUGACUACAGAACAAACAAGAGGAUUGUUCAGUUCCAAACUCAUGUAGUAGUAUUUGGGUUGUUGACCCUUGACACAAAAUCACCAUGGCUACUAUCUAGCUUUGUUCUUUGUCUGCACAGCUAUCUAGUGUGAUUGUAAAAUAUGUACAUGAAAGAAUAAAAUGAAGUCACUUAA
Long non-coding RNA from Clupea harengus (Atlantic herring), 1862 nucleotides. The record is from Ensembl. NCBI's taxonomy places the organism in Eukaryota, Metazoa, Chordata, Actinopteri, Clupeiformes, Clupeidae.